UUGGAGGAUAGGUACGAAGUCCCGUGUCUAAAUCAAGUUUACUCAAUGAGGGAAUAUGACUUCUAUCAUAAAUUUUGUAGCCAAUAAAGAAAGCAAUCACAAUUGGAGCAGCAAGAUAUCCUUGGAAAAAAUCGUUAGCAUUUGGCUUUGAACCGAUGGGGAACAAAGAUACAUAGAAUUCGGCCAUAAGACACAAAAUGUUGAAAGCCAAUCCAAUAGCAGAACCCCAAAUACCCAUAGGUGAUACAAAUCCAAGUUGAUCCAAAGAACGGCCUUGUUUCUUCAUAGCAAGACGGAAGACGAUAUGGCAAAGAUUAAUACUGCCCCAUGAGAAGAAGUUUGAGAUACCGGAAAUAGCCAAUAACCAAUCGAAAACAGUGUCACUAACAUCACCGGCGGCAUUGAUAUAUGCAAAAAAUCCAAACAACAAACAAACAGCCAUAGCGAGGAGGGGACGACCAAGACGAUCAGUAUAUGCAAAGAAGCGAGGUGCGUCACCUUUAGCGGCCAUAGCAUGAAGAGUACGACUAGCAGUGAAAGUACAAGAAUUUGCAACAGAGACGGUAGAAAUGAUAAUUACUGCAUUGAAAACGGAAGGAAGGCCUCUGAUGUUUGCUUCUUUAAUGGCCAACACGAAGGGAGAGGUACUACCAUCGCUGCUAUUACCCAUCAAACGAGGAUCAUCUGGUGAAACAAGCAGACCAAUUAAAAUUAAAGAUACGACGUAGAAAAUAGCAAUACGCCAAAAGACCUGUUUGGUAGCACGAGGGAGAGACUUUUGAGGAUCUUCAGCUUCAGCAGCAGCUAAACCAACAACUUCAGUACCUGAGAAGGAGAAACCGGCAGUAGUAAACACGGAACAAAAACCUUUAAAGCUAUGACGGAAAGGUUUGUUUUUAAUAAUUUUACCACCGAUGUAGCCACGAGGAUCAGUAGGAACACCACCGCAAUUAAUAAUAAUAGCCAAAAUAAUAAAACCAGUAGUGGCAACAACUUUGAGCGUAGAUAGAAUAAAUUCAACUUCACCA
This is a non-coding RNA of Schizosaccharomyces pombe (fission yeast), 1028 nucleotides long. NCBI's taxonomy places the organism in Eukaryota, Fungi, Ascomycota, Schizosaccharomycetes, Schizosaccharomycetales, Schizosaccharomycetaceae. The record is from the annotation of a GenBank genome assembly.